UUUGUUACUUCAAACCAAUCGGACUUCGGUCUGACAUCMAGUGAUAUUGAACAAUUUAGCUGAUCGCACGGUCUAAGAACCGGCGACAUAUCCUUCAAAUGUCUGCCUUAUCAACUUUCGAUGGUAGAUUAUGCGCCUACCAUGGUUGUAACGGGUAACGGAGAAUCAGGGUUUGAUUCCGGAGAGGGAGCCUGARAAACGGCUACCACAUCCAAGGAAGGSAGCAGGSACSCAAAUUACCCMCUCCCGGCACGGGGAGGUAGUGACSAAAAAUAACAAGCUGGUCUCAAUGRGUUCCAGCAUUGUAAUGGGAACAAUUUAAAWCUUUUAUCGAGGAUCUAUUGGARGGSAAGUCUGGUGCCAGCAGCCGCGGUAAUUCCAGCUCCAAUARCGUAUAUUAAAGUUGUUGCGGKYAAAAAGCUYGUARUUGGAUCUAGGAWUAGGGCUACGGUCGUUCARCUUGGGACGUACUGUAUGCCCGACUCCYUUUCUCUAGUAUUCGAUUGKUGCUCUUAAAUGAGUGACUUUAGUUGCUGGAACUUUUACCUUGAAAAAAUUGAAGUGCUCAAAGUAGGU
RNAcentral lists this ribosomal RNA (576 nucleotides) under uncultured eukaryote. Its description in RNAcentral is "partial 18S ribosomal RNA". It matches the Rfam family "Eukaryotic small subunit ribosomal RNA", at positions 205 to 796 of the family's 1831-position model. The record is from RNAcentral.